CUGUACUCUACGAAUCAUCCCUAUCAGUUUGACAAAUCCUCUUGGUCAGUUAAUCAGAUAACCCCACUUCCGAUCUCCAGUGAGGUAACACUUCCCGCCACUUAAACAGCAUCUCUUUGUGUGAUCAUAUUUCACAAGGAGUGACCGCUACUACGUAUACGCGCGGAUGAUGCAGUCUUUUCAAAAGAUCAGCACACCCCUAUCUAAAGGAAGCUUAUUUCGUCGACAAAGUAUACAAUUAGUAAAAAGAAGUGCCUGCCUACGAGGAUUUCCAUAUAUUUUCAAGGAAAAGAUGUAUGUUUUGAAAAGUGUUGAAAGUGACAUGCAGGAGGACUAAGCAGGGAUGAAACUGAAGUACCAUGACGUCAUGACAAUUAUGGAUGAUGACUUUUGUGUUGAAAUAGAUGGGGAACAAAUCAUUCAGUGCAAUUCUUUAGUGGAUUUUUUUUUGCGGACUUGUCACCAUUAUAUAUGCUUUCAACUAAGGAUAUCCUAGGAAAUGGCCAAACAUUCCUCUUCAUUCAGAAAGUCAUCUUAGGACUAUAUGAUGAAUUCGAAGAACUGGACAGAAAGCUCUCAUCGGUGGUGUCCGAAAUAACUAGGGCGAUGGAUUAUGUUUUUUGGACUUUAUAAUAGGCAGAAUAACAUUUUAAAAGGGAUUCUAUGGCGUUAACAAUGCUCAUAUUCAUCUAGAAACUAGAUAACAGUCAGGAAACAGAAAACUUGAUCCUGAAAAGAGAUACAGGUGGUAAUUUUAUUUGAUCCUGAAGUCUCUACAGGUGGUAGGUUUCUGUGAAGGGCUGAGAUUAAUUAUUAAUGAUUGCCUUUUGCUAUUUUUAAUUAGCUGUAUAUCAAAAAUGAAAACAAGUCACAUUAUUGCAUACAUAAAAUCCUGUGUAGCUUGGAAAAUGAAUGACAUAUUAUUAUGUUAAAUUUUUAUGCUGCUAUGUGUCCCAAGAUGUUGAAAGAGUCACACCUUUGGAAUAAAGUUGAAUUAUCUACAUGCCAAAGAAAAUCACAUCUUUUUAUUAUUCAUAGUAAUUUGUAUAUAUUAUAACUAAGAGAUUUUUCAAGACAAACAUUUCAUGAUGAUGAAAUAUUUUCACUAGAUCAAUUAUUAAUUUAUCAGUUGCAACUUUCUUUUUUCGCCUGAUGUUUUACACAAGUGACAGACAUGACUUCGUCAAAAAGGUGAUCUCUCGUGGUUAAUAGUGUAAUAGUUAUUUGUCAAGGUACGAUUUCAAUAAUUUCAUAAGAAUCAGAACUUAUUUUACAUCAUUACUUCGUCAAAGUGAUAUCAUCACUUCGUCAAAGUGACAUACGUACUUCGU
Long non-coding RNA from Pecten maximus, 1331 nucleotides. RefSeq lists it as uncharacterized. The transcript has 3 exons. Lineage: Eukaryota; Metazoa; Mollusca; Bivalvia; Pectinida; Pectinidae. The record is from RefSeq and is a predicted model, not a curated record.